CACUGAUGUUGAUGAUAAAUACUGCUGUCAUCUCAACCAGAUCACAUUCACUGCUUCAUCAUGGACUUCGAUCUGUGCUCAGGUAAAUGAUAUUCCAGUAAACACACACUGGUUGAUUUCUAAGAGAAACUAACAGUUUUAUUCCUGUUUUGGAGCAGCUGUUGGAGAUGAUGAGGUGAAGAAGCAGGAGGGCAACGAGGUGGAGGGCAUCUUUGGGUUUGGAAAAAAAGAUAAAGACAAAGAAGAAAAAGAUAAAGAGUGUAAGGACAAAGACAAAGGUAGUGACAAGCCAAAGAGUGAUUGCAAAGAAGAGGAUAAAGACAAGGACGAGUGCAAAGACAAAGAGAAGGACAAGUGCAAAGACAAAGAGAAGGACAAGUGCAAAGACAAAGAGAAGGACAAGUGCAAAGACAAAGAGAAGGACAAGUGCAAAGACAAAGAGAAGGACAAGUGCAAAGACAAAGAGAAGGACAAGUGCAAAGACAAAGAGAAGGACAAGUGCAAAGACAAAGAGAAGGACAAGUGCAAAGACAAAGAGAAGGACAAGUGCAAAGACAAGGAAAAGAAGAAGGAUAAAGAGCACAAAAAGGGGCACGGUCAUGGACACGGACAUGGUCAUGGUCGGGGACGUGGACGCGGACACGGACACAGGUCAUCCUCUUCAUCCAGUGAUGAGGACUAAAGCUGAAGACAUAAGAGGGCCGGGGCAAGUUGUCACACAGGGAAAAUGUCCUAAGGGAUUUAUUUUUAUAGCAACUGUGAGGUUUUGAGUCAAAAAAUCCAAUUGCACAAAUGCUUGUUUUCUAGCAGUGGUUUUAUAUGUUGUUUCAAACACCUAGUUGCAACAUUUGUAUUAAAUUAGGAUAAUAUUUUUGGAAUUGUGUCCUACAAACUAAAAUUUCAGUACUAUUAUCUUUUUAUAAAUUGGUCUGAGCUGUUACAUGAGUUUUGUGAUGUACUGCAUAUAAAGUAUCUAUGAAAAUCUCCUGUUAUUUUUUGUAACAUUUAAAUUUUUUUGCUGUUUGUUUUACUGUUAAAGACAUUAUAUAGCCUCUAAUACAUAAUAAUAAUGUUAAUAAUGUUUGUUUUCUCAAAACAAUUCCCAUUCUUAUGAUUUAUCCCAUAUAUAGUGACAACAUGGCCCACUAAACAUAAGUCAACAUAAUGAACUGUAGCCUAUAUUUAUACUGGAUAAUAAUGAUAGAUAUGUCCAAUAGUUGUUUCAGGGUGGUGACUAUUGAAAAAGUGACAUAAGUGACUUUUCAAAAUAAACUUAAUGUGAGAAAUUAAUUGGUAUAAAAAGUUGUCCUAGACUCCUUUAUUUACAC
This is a long non-coding RNA of Sinocyclocheilus grahami, 1328 nucleotides long. Ensembl annotates it as splicing regulatory glutamine/lysine-rich protein 1-like. NCBI's taxonomy places the organism in Eukaryota, Metazoa, Chordata, Actinopteri, Cypriniformes, Cyprinidae. The record is from Ensembl.